RNAcentral lists this long non-coding RNA (215 nucleotides) under Homo sapiens (human). RNAcentral describes it as "non-protein coding lnc-C10orf120-1:2". The record is from RNAcentral. Lineage: Eukaryota; Metazoa; Chordata; Mammalia; Primates; Hominidae.
CGGGGACCCACGGGAAGAAGACGCCGCCCCCUCCCGCUGCCCCAAGCCAGGGCAGUGCCUACAACAGAAGUAUGUGUUGAAUGAUGAAUGCCACAGUCCCCUUUAUGGACAGAGCCAGCAUCAGAAGCCAAGCAGAAGGAGUACCUCCAGAAGCAAACCUCUGUUCUAACCAGAAAUCAGAACCAAGAUAGAACAAGAAUUAAACAUGAACUGAA